AAUGAAUUGCCUGAAAAAAGGAUCACCUUGAUAGGGUAAAUCAUGUAAUAAUAUUACAUUCAUUA
This 65-nucleotide transfer RNA is filed under the name Mesomelena mesomelaena. Its description in RNAcentral is "tRNA-Ile". Lineage: Eukaryota; Metazoa; Arthropoda; Insecta; Diptera; Sarcophagidae. The record is from RNAcentral.